RNAcentral lists this ribosomal RNA (242 nucleotides) under uncultured bacterium. Its description in RNAcentral is "partial 16S ribosomal RNA". It matches the Rfam family "Bacterial small subunit ribosomal RNA", at positions 77 to 334 of the family's 1533-position model. The record is from RNAcentral.
CCUUCGGGAGCGAGUAGAGCGGCGAAAGGGCGAGUAAUGCGUUUUUACGUACCCCGAGGUUGGGGAUAGCCCAGGGAAACCUGGAUUAAUACCCAAUGUGGUGCUUCGGCAUCAAAGGCUUGCCGCCUCGGGAGCGGAGAACGUCCUAUCAGGUUGUUGGUGAGGUAACGGCUCACCAAGCCUUAGACGGGUAGCGGGUGUGAGAGCAUGACCCGCCGCAUCGGGACUGAGACACUGCCCGG